CGUCAUGAAGAGGGCGCUGAGCGCCAACCAUUUCCUUUGCUUCUUGGUUUCUUCUUUGUUUGUUGCUUAUGUGGNAGCCUUCUUUAGUUGCAUAGACAUAGUUUCUUCUCUUCAUUAAUGUCCUACAAAAGCAAUGUAAAGUUAUUUGUCAAAGGGAAAGAGGAUUUAGUAAUUAAUACUCCAUAAGAGUAAAGUAGUGAGUGCUCCCUCUUCCUCUUGGAUUCUCUUGGACAUGGCUCUUGUUAAAGGUCCUAUGUUGAGCUUGGAUGGUCCUCCAUCAG
Molecule: long non-coding RNA, 281 nt
Filed under: Vigna radiata
Lineage: Eukaryota; Viridiplantae; Streptophyta; Magnoliopsida; Fabales; Fabaceae
Description: long non-coding RNA (VRAD_LNC015406)
Source: RNAcentral